RNAcentral lists this long non-coding RNA (578 nucleotides) under Calidris pugnax (ruff). RNAcentral describes it as "lncRNA (ENSCPUG00000010956.1)". The record is from RNAcentral. Lineage: Eukaryota; Metazoa; Chordata; Aves; Charadriiformes; Scolopacidae.
UCUACUUUAAAAGUCAACUCUGAAAAUGAGAAGCAUUUCCUCUUAUUUCCACAAGUUUAUUGUGUGUGAAUCCCUAGAAGAAUUUGGCAAUAAUAAUAAAAAUAAGGAACGAUGAUGCACCACCAAAUGUAUUUACUGCAGUAUCAGUGGUGCUAAAGAUGUGCUUGGAAACCUAUGUAAAUCACUGAAUAACUUUUUCCCAAACCACAGCUGGCUGAGAGAAUUUUAUUAAAACACAAUUUCGUCUAAACAUGCUAUUUUAUCAGAAUUGACACGUCCAGCAGAACAACGCUUGCUCCAGUGAAGGGCUGCUCUGAGGAAUGUUCUGGUCGACACAAGAGAGAGCACGAUCGAAGAUGUGAAAACACGUGAAAAUAUCUGCCGGCAGCGCUCCCGGAUCGAGCCACCGCCACCGUCCCAGGCAGGAGGGACAAGCUGGUGGAGGGGACAUGCUGCCAUGGGAGGAGACGGCUUCUGCAGGAGGGUGAGUCCAUACCCACGGGUGCUGUGGGUCCGUCUCACUGCCCUGGACACAGGACUGCAUCCCACGUGUCCCCACACAAGUCAGGGGGCAGAUC